AGUAAAAUGGCCGAAUUAGGCGUUAAAUUGUAAAUUUAAUUAUGGAUUUAUCCUUUUACUA
This 61-nucleotide transfer RNA is filed under the name unidentified. RNAcentral's name for it is "Wallacea dactyliferae tRNA-Tyr". The record is from RNAcentral.